AGGAAAGGAGAGAAGAGGAGAGACGAGACGAGAGGAGACGAGAAUAGAAGAGGAGCGGAGAGGAGAGAAGAGGAGAACGGAUCAAGGAUCAAGGAUCAAGGAAUCGUUUGACGACCGAUCGGUACGACAGCGAGCGGCUUCUUCUUCCGUGCGAAGCGAAGUGUGGAAGACGACGACGUGUUCAGGAGUGAACGAACGGAAGCCGAUCUUCUCGACUAAAUCACAUGGCUUAUUUGAUGAACAUCAAAACGAAAAUCACGCGUCUCCGAAACUUCGUUUGAAGGAAGGAUUGAAUACAUAAAAAUAGACAGGCAGCUAAUAGAAAAAGGAAAAUGAAAUCAAAUAUAUUUCUACUAAUGACAACCUUUUCAAAAAAAUCUCUUCUUUAACUCGACGGCUUUCAGUUCGGUCGCUCUUUGCCUUAACUGUUACCUCGAGAAUAUCUUUCGGACACGAGAUCACGUAUAUAGAUUAGUGUCAUCGUAAUCGUAUUAAAGAAAUCAAGAAAAAAGAAAAAAAAGAAGGAGGCGAAAACUUAACGUAGCCAAAUUGGAAUCCAGUUUCAAUCCAGAGUAAAAAAAUAAAGAGAAAAAGAAAAUGAAAAAACUAAACUUUGAAACUAAAACCUCGAAAUAUGCGAAGAGAUAACGAAGCAAAGGAAGAAAGAAAGAAAAAAAAAGAAAAGAAAAGUGCAGUUAGAGACGCUGUAUGUUGGAAAACGAAGAAUAAAAAAAUGUGGUAUGAAAAGGUCUUAGAAAAGUGUCCAAGGACGGAUGGGAGGAGUGGAGAAGGGAUUGGAUAUAAUGUAUUUCGAGAUAUAUAAAAUCGUACCAAUUAAGAAAGAGUUAAACGCUUAUUAACUGAGGAUAAGAAAUGUGAGAAAAAGAAUGGAAAUAUCAAGAGAGA
This is a long non-coding RNA of Vespula pensylvanica (western yellowjacket), 906 nucleotides long. RefSeq lists it as uncharacterized. Lineage: Eukaryota; Metazoa; Arthropoda; Insecta; Hymenoptera; Vespidae. The record is from RefSeq and is a predicted model, not a curated record. The transcript has 2 exons.